AUGACUCAGACCCCAGCAUCCCUGGCCGUCACCCCUGGACAGCCGGCCUCCAUCUCCUGCAGGGCCAGUCAGAGCCUCCUGUUCAGUGAUGGAAACACCUAUUUAAAUUGGUACCUGCAUAAACCAGGCCUGUCUCCACGGCGCCUGAUCGAAAAGGUUUCCAUCCGGGCCCCCGGAGUCCCAGACAGGUUCAGUGGCAGCGGGUCAGGAACAGAUUUCACUCUGACAAUCAGCAGGGUGGAGGCUGAAGACAUUGGAGUUUACUACUACUGCUGGCAAGGGACCGAGGAGCUCCUGCGGCUCAUCGCUGGGGCUUCAGCCCAGGCCGCUGGAACUCUCUCUCCAAGGUUCCUGGGAACUGGCUCUGGCUGUACUCCUCCCUCACCACCAGUGGACUAG
Non-coding RNA from Suricata suricatta (meerkat), 399 nucleotides. The record is from the annotation of a RefSeq genome assembly. Lineage: Eukaryota; Metazoa; Chordata; Mammalia; Carnivora; Herpestidae.